UUUAUAUCAUUAAGAACCGGAUCAAAUAGACAUUCCACCUAGUGUAGGCGUCACGGGGAGCCUAUUCCCGCCUUCCCACUCGCCUUCCUCGCGCCCUUCAGUAGGGUGAGUGAAGAGGCGAACACGCCUCGAGUGCAUGAAGUUAUUUUUCAUACUUCAUAAACUCUUAAAUGUUUCUCCUGGCUCUUCCAAUU
This is a non-coding RNA of Caenorhabditis elegans, 194 nucleotides long. The record is from Ensembl. Lineage: Eukaryota; Metazoa; Nematoda; Chromadorea; Rhabditida; Rhabditidae.